GAAAUGCAACGGAUACGAAUACAAAUACAGAAAUCAACGCGUCGCGCUCGUUCUAACGCCAAACCGACAAACUCGACAAGUGUGUUGGUUAUUCAACACUUGUUCGACGCUUUUAAAUGUGGUAGACGUCUGCGGUCAGCCAUCGCUUAUAAGUAGGCUAAGAAUUAUCGUCGAGAAGUCAGUUCAAGUUUGACUACGGUCGAGAGAAGACAUUCUUACCCGUGGACCGUACGAGAAACAAGGAGGAUAACCGUCCGUUGCAAUAGUUUUGAUUUCAAAGAGAAUCCGAUAAAUCCACGAUGUCGAAAAUCGUUCUUUUCCUAUGCGUCGCUCUUCUGGUCGGAAGCGUUAUCUCAGCUUCGCCCGGCAGAACUCGAUCUAGUUCAUCUUUGACCGCUGACACACAGAAUUGCGGCCGUCACGGUGAUCCCUGUGUGUCGGCUGAUCAAUGUUGCGGCACUUUGAGGUGCCACACUUACGCUCAUAGAUGCCAAGUCGUCAUCACGGAAGCCGAGAUUUUGGCACAGCGCGAAAAAAUUCUUGGACGCCGAGGAAAAGACAAUUAAAAUUAUAUACGUCACAUCCGACGAGCGACGAGCGAGGACGAAUAACUAACAAAUCAAGGGAUAAACGAAGGGAAUCGAAUCCAUGUCCAAAUAUCAUUAAACUGUACGUGUGAUUUGAAUAAAGACAACUCGUUGAGUAAAAAAAAACAUUUCCAUCCAUCUCGUACACGGUGGAGAUAAUAUUUUUUUUUUAUUUCUCCUCUUUUACGAGGAAAGAUUUCGACGAUGACGUAAGCACGUGGAGUUAUAGUUUUUUACGUUGCGAUCGCCUCUUGUGUUUGGUGCCGCGAGAUAAGGUCUUAUCGGUGAUUUUUACUUAUCGUUACUUCCAUAAAAUGCCUAAUAUACACCUUGCCAUAUGUCAUGGUAUGGGAGGCAAAGGACAUGCGGGGGGAAACAGGGGUGCACACCCACCUGUGUUUUAAAUUCCAUGCACGUACGGAAUUAUCGAUCCGAGUAUCCUAGUCUCUACUGUUCUAAAAAAUUGACGACCGAUCGAAACACGAAAUACGAGUUCGGCGUCGUAUUAUUAUACUAAAAUCGUGCAGCGAAAUGAGCGCCGACCGAGAUAUUGGUGCCGUUCGAUUUUGCGAAAUUAGCGAAUCGUGCCGUUGAGAACGGUGCGAUAAUAUUUUAUUCCUUUGCUCAUCGGUUUCGAAAAUGUCAGCCCAUAUUUUACAUGACAGAUCGUGACUGGACUGAAAACAUCAUUCAAGACGUUACCAUUGAUGUCUAUGGAUUAAAUAAAAACGACGAUUUGCAAAAAUCGAAUAAAAAUUAAGGAGUUGGAAAAUUCAAAAAGCUAAGCAUACUCCGAGGUAAGUCUGGAUGAGUAGGUAGCACGAAAAUAUUGAAAAUCAAAGAGGCACUUCCUGUACUUCGCCACCUUCAGAUUUCUCUUGCGACUCGCCUUGGGAGGACGAACGAAAAGAGAAAAAAAUUCGCCGUCUCCGUUUCGCCUGAUAUCGAAUGGCAAUUUUCACGGUCUACCGAGCACGG
RNAcentral lists this unclassified non-coding RNA (1565 nucleotides) under Athalia rosae (coleseed sawfly). RNAcentral describes it as "misc RNA ENSAEAG00005011692.1". The record is from RNAcentral. Lineage: Eukaryota; Metazoa; Arthropoda; Insecta; Hymenoptera; Athaliidae.